RNAcentral lists this ribosomal RNA (247 nucleotides) under uncultured bacterium. RNAcentral describes it as "partial small subunit ribosomal RNA". It matches the Rfam family "Bacterial small subunit ribosomal RNA", at positions 26 to 285 of the family's 1533-position model. The record is from RNAcentral.
AGAAUCAACGCUGGCGGCGUGCCUAACACAUGCAAGUCGAACGAGAAAGUGGGAGCAAUCCCACGAGUAAAGUGGCGCACGGGUGAGUAACACAUGACUAACCUACCCUUGAGUGGGGGAUAACCUAGGGAAACCUGGGCUAAUACCGCAUAAUACCUACGGGUCAAAGGAGCAAUUCGCUUUAGGAGGGGGUCGCGGCAGAUUAGUUAGUUGGCGGGGUAAUGGCCCACCAAGACAGUGAUCUGUA